AUUGAACGCUGGCGGCAGGCCUAACACAUGCAAGUCGAACGAGUGGCGGACGGGUGAGUAAUGUCUGGGAAACUGCCCGAUGGAGGGGGAUAACUACUGGAAACGGUAGCUAAUACCGCAUACCAUCGGAUGUGCCCAGAUGGGAUUAGCUUGUAGGUGAGGUAACGGCUCACCUAGGCGACGAUCCCUAGCUGGUCGGAGAGGAUGACCAGCCACCCUGGAACUGAGACACGGUCCAGACUCCGACGUGAGGCAGCAGUGGGGAAUAUUGCACAAUGCGCGAAAGCCUGAUGCAGCCAUGCCGCGUGGAUGAAGAAGGCCUUCGGGUUGUAAAGUACUUUCAGCGGGGAAGCGGUACCCGCAGAAGAAGCAAAGGCGAACUCCGUGCCAGCAGCCGCGGGAAUUC
RNAcentral lists this ribosomal RNA (406 nucleotides) under uncultured bacterium. RNAcentral's name for it is "partial 16S ribosomal RNA". It matches the Rfam family "Bacterial small subunit ribosomal RNA", at positions 29 to 526 of the family's 1533-position model. The record is from RNAcentral.